This 76-nucleotide transfer RNA is filed under the name Rheinheimera sp. RNAcentral describes it as "tRNA-Glu". It matches the Rfam family "tRNA". From Rfam's summary of the family: Transfer RNA (tRNA) molecules are approximately 80 nucleotides in length. Their secondary structure includes four short double-helical elements and three loops (D, anti-codon, and T loops). Lineage: Bacteria; Pseudomonadati; Pseudomonadota; Gammaproteobacteria; Chromatiales; Chromatiaceae. The record is from RNAcentral. RNAcentral also lists the same sequence under 1 other name.
GCUCCCAUCGUCUAGUGGCCUAGGACACCGCCCUCUCACGGCGGCGACAGGGGUUCAAAUCCCCUUGGGAGUACCA